CUACGGGUGGCUGCAGCGAGGAAUAUUGCACAAUGGGGGGAACCCUGAUGCAGCAACGCCGCGUGGAGGAUGACGCAUUUCGGUGUGUAAACUCCUUUUAUAUGUCAAGAAAAUGACGGUAGCAUAUGAAUAAGCACCGGCUAACUCCGUGCCAGCAGCCGCGGUAAUACGGAGGGUGCAAGCGUUACUCGGAAUCACUGGGCGUAAAGGACGCGUAGGCGGGUUGGAAAGUCAGGUGUGAAAUCCUACAGCUUAACUGUAGAACUGCACUUGAAACUUCUAAUCUAGAGUAUGGGAGGGGGAGAUGGAAUUAGUGGUGUAGGGGUAAUAUCCAUAGAUAUCACUAGGAAUACCUAAAGCGAAGGCGAUCUCCUGGAACAUUACUGACGCUAAGGCGUGAAAGCGUGGGGAGCAAACAGGAUUAGAUACCCUAGUAGUC
This 439-nucleotide ribosomal RNA is filed under the name uncultured bacterium. RNAcentral describes it as "partial 16S ribosomal RNA". It matches the Rfam family "Bacterial small subunit ribosomal RNA", at positions 339 to 795 of the family's 1533-position model. The record is from RNAcentral.